This 279-nucleotide ribosomal RNA is filed under the name uncultured bacterium. RNAcentral describes it as "partial 16S ribosomal RNA". It matches the Rfam family "Bacterial small subunit ribosomal RNA", at positions 506 to 784 of the family's 1533-position model. The record is from RNAcentral.
UGCCAGCCGCCGCGGUAAUACGGAGGGGGUUAGCGUUGUUCGGAAUUACUGGGCGUAAAGCGUACGUAGGCGGAUUAGUAAGUUAGAGGUGAAAUCCCCGGGCUUAACCUGGGAACUGCAUUUGAAACUGGUCAACUAGAGUAUGGUAGAGGAAAGUGGAAUUUCUGGUGUAGCGGUGAAAUGCGUAGAUAUCAGAAGGAACAUCAAUGGCGAAGGCAGCUUUCUGGACCAAUACUGACGCUGAGGUACGAAAGCGUGGGUAGCAAACAGGAUUAGAUA